This 341-nucleotide long non-coding RNA is filed under the name Elaeis guineensis (African oil palm). RNAcentral describes it as "long non-coding RNA (EGUI_LNC029082)". Lineage: Eukaryota; Viridiplantae; Streptophyta; Magnoliopsida; Arecales; Arecaceae. The record is from RNAcentral.
UCCGUUAUUUCAUCUCUUCCAGAGGUUGCAGGGGCAUCCUCUCCCAUGUAAACAACCAUUGCUGUGCUCCCUUUGAUCAUCUCCUCUUCUUUGUUGCCUUCUCUCCGACACCUUUUAAACUCAAACUUUUUAGGGGUUAUUACUGAAUAAAUGUGGUUAUCUGAAAAUGCUCUCUCAAUAAGCUGAGAACACUGUCCGAAAGAAGAAAAUGAAGAAAAAAAAUAUUUAUCCUCAACUGCAGAGAUGAGGACGUUGAGAUGCACUGGUUGUCCAAAAAAAGAAAAUGAAAAAAAUGCCGGUCACUAGAGUGGAGAGAAGACAAAGCGGUAUUUUGGAAGAGA